RNAcentral lists this ribosomal RNA (373 nucleotides) under uncultured organism. Its description in RNAcentral is "bacterial SSU rRNA". It matches the Rfam family "Bacterial small subunit ribosomal RNA", at positions 527 to 896 of the family's 1533-position model. The record is from RNAcentral.
CGGGGGAGCAAGCGUUGUUCGGAUUUACUGGGCGUAAAGGGCGCGUAGGCGGCCACUGCAAGUCGGUUGUGAAAUCUCCGGGCUUAACCCGGAAAGGUCAACCGAUACUGCAGGGCUAGAGUGCAGAAGGGGCAACUGGAAUUCUCGGUGUAGCGGUGAAAUGCGUAGAUAUCGAGAGGAACACCUGCGGCGAAGGCGGGUUGCUGGGCUGACACUGACGCUGAAGCGCGAAAGCUAGGGGAGCGAACGGGAUUAGAUACCCCGGUAGUCCUAGCCUUAAACGAUGAAUGCUUGGUGUCUGGGGUUUUAUAGUCCCCGGGUGCCGUCGCUAACGCUUUAAGCAUUCCGCCUGGGGAGUACGGUCGCAAGACUG